Molecule: long non-coding RNA, 656 nt
Organism: Pan troglodytes (chimpanzee)
Lineage: Eukaryota; Metazoa; Chordata; Mammalia; Primates; Hominidae
Exons: 4
Source: RefSeq, a predicted model, not a curated record
GUGCAGGUGAUCCUGGGGAGGCCGGGGGCCGCGCCGGGGGUGCCAGGGUCCCUCACACUGGAGUGGCGGCGCCUCCCCGUGGUGUCCCCGCUCCUGGGUCCUUUUUGGGACUGGCUCUGGCACUCCCGGGCACUCAGUCCAGUAGAGAAGGCUUCCAGGUCGGACUCCUCCGAGGGGUAAAGAGAGGGAAGGGAACCUCACAAACACACCCAGGAGCAUCUGGCGAUGGAGGAUGAGAAGACAAGAGAGUGACGGGGGCAGAGUCAGGGGUCUGAUCUCCUUGCGAGCCACCUGAUCUCCCCGGGCCUCUGUUUUCUCAUCUGUGAAAUGACGGGUUGGACGGCCUUGUCUCUGAGGCCUCAUCCAGUUCCACGUACAGGAAGAUAUAAAUGCAAAUGUGCAAAAAAAGGAAGAAGGAAAGAUGGACCAAGUUCACCUGUUUGAUGGAAAAGCAGAAGCUCAGAAAAUGGAGGCUAAGUAACUUGUUCAAGAUCACAGAGCAAGCAGAUGUCACAGCUGGAAUCUGAACCCAGGUGUGUUUGACCUUAUCCUCUGCUCUAAUCAUACUGCCACAAUGCACAUUGCUGAAUACGAUCUUCAAUACAAAAGUUUCUUGGGGAAGAAAAGAGGAAAAAUAGAAGUUUAUUACCUGGUCC